This is an RNA transcript of Gadus morhua (Atlantic cod), 5270 nucleotides long. It is a transcript of the gene named microtubule associated monooxygenase, calponin and LIM domain containing 2a, with no coding region annotated. Lineage: Eukaryota; Metazoa; Chordata; Actinopteri; Gadiformes; Gadidae. The transcript has 23 exons. The record is from RefSeq and is a predicted model, not a curated record.
ACUUUGCGCUCCGCCCUUGGCCAGUAGUGUGUAGUCUAUGGUGGAGCUGCUUUCAUUACACUGGGCGACUGGGACGAGCUGCCACAUAUUUCUCCGGAUUCUGUGUUUCAAAAAUAAUUGGAUGAGGGAAAAGUUCAUCUUUCUUCCUGUGAGAUGAAACGGACCAGCCUGUGGGUUUAACAGCGGGGUCACCACCAACGAGGAAAGCAGAACGUCUGCCGGAGAGUUCAGCGAUCCCAACACGACUACAAUGGGAGACAUGACGGCAGAUCCGAAGGAUCUGGUCAUGAAGCUGUUUGAGAACUUUGCGCAGGCGCCGGCCUGUAAGUGCACACUGCAGGCCUUCAACGUCAUGUGCGCUCAACUGGGGCUGGACCCCCUGGAGCACAUCACCUUCUACAGCAGUCUGAAGGACAAGAUGACCACGUGGAAAGCCAAAGCACUUUGGAGCAAGCUGGACAAGAGGUUCGCACACAAGGAGUACAAGAAGGGACAAGCGUGUGUGGGCACCAAGUGUCUGGUGAUCGGAGGGGGACCCUGUGGGCUACGGACGGCCAUCGAGCUCGCCCUGAUGGGCGCCAAAGUGGUGGUGAUCGAGAAGAGGGACUCGUUCUCCAGGAACAACGUGCUGCACCUGUGGCCCUUCACCAUCCAUGACCUCCGGGGCCUGGGGGCCAAGAAGUUCUACGGGAAGUUCUGCGCGGGAGCCAUCGACCACAUCAGUAUACAGCAGCUGCAGCUCAUGUUGCUUAAGAUUGCCCUGAUUGUCGGAGUGGAGUUUCACAUCAACGUGGAGUUUGUGAAGCUGUUGGAGCCUUCAGAGGACCAGGAGAAUGAAGCGUUGGGCUGGAGGGCUGGCAUCCUGCCUGCGGAUCAUCCCGUGGCUAAUUUUGAGUUUGAUGUGGUGGUCGGCGCAGAUGGACGAAGGAACACACUGGAAGGUUUUAGCAGGACCGAGUUCCGGGGUAAGCUGGCUAUUGCUAUCACGGCCAACUUCACCAACAGGAACACCACGGCUGAGGCUAAAGUGGAGGAGAUCAGUGGGUUGGCCUUCAUCUUUAACCAGAAGUUUUUCCUUGAUCUCAAGGAGGAGACGGGUAUUGACCUGGAGAACAUUGUGUACUACAAAGACAAGACGCAUUACUUUGUCAUGACAGCCAAGAAGCAGAGCCUAUUGGACAAGGGGGUUGUUAUUCACGACUACGUCGACACCCAGAGUCUGCUGUGCAGUAACAACGUCAACCAGGAAGCGCUGCUGUGCUAUGCCCGCGAGGCCGCUGACUUUGGCACCAACUACCAGCUGCCCACCCUGGACUACGCCACCAACCACUACGGGCAGCCGGACGUGGCCAUGUUCGACUUCACCAGCAUGCACGCGUCAGAGCACGCGGCGGUCGUGCGUGAGCGCCACGGGCGCCAUUUGUUGGUGGCACUGGUCGGGGACAGUCUGCUAGAGCCCUUCUGGCCCAUGGGUACGGGCUGUGCUCGGGGCUUCCUGGCCGCCCUGGACACGGCCUGGAUGGUGAGGGGCUGGGCUCAGGAGAGGCCCGUCCUGGAGCUGCUGGCCGAGAGGGAGAGCAUUUACAGACUGCUUCCCCAAACCACACCCGAGAACUUGGCCAAGAACUUUGAUCUGUACACCAUAGACCCUGGAAGCCGGUACCCCAACAAAAACUUCUCCAGUGUCAAGGCAAAGCAGGUACGUCACCUGUAUGUCACCAGAGAGCUCAAUGCCUGCCCUCUGCAGCGGUCUGCAACCAUACGACGGCCUGUCAACAUAGACAGGCGAGAGUCUGAGAUUAGACCGGGUCGACUGCUGACCUGGUGCCAGAAGCAGACAGAGGGCUACAGGAAUGUGUCGGUGACCGACUUGACGUCCUCUUGGCAUAGCGGCCUGGCCCUCUGCGCCUUGAUCCAUAGGUUCAACUCCCAGCUUGUAGAUUUCAGCUCCCUCACCGAGGAGGACGCCGCCGCCAACCUCCAGCUGGCGUUCGACGUCGGCCAGCGGGAGUUUGGCGUGGCGCCGUUCACGUCCGGACAGGAGCUGUCGGCCGCCCCGGACGUGGACAAGACGCAGAUGAUCCUGUACCUGUCAAAGAUCUACGAGCUGUUCCGCGGCACGCCUCUACCUCAGACAGGUUUAAGGGUUGCUGAUGAAAACAGUGUGGAGUAUCCGUCGAACGACCCGAGACACAUGACCAAUGGGAUUAAUGUCUCUCAACCACGGAAACGAGUGCCCAGGGAGGAGAGGAAAUCGGAGUGCACCCCGGAAUCAGUUUACAAGCGGCGGCGAAAAGGAGGCAGCAGUAGCCAUCUGGACGAGGCCACUCAUCUGCAGGCUUCCCGGGACUCCUCCGCGCUGCUGGAGGAGACGGCCCCGCGGGAGAACAACCGGGUUCGCUCCAUGGCCACCCAGCUGCAGGCCAUGUUCGAAGGCACCGCCGCUAGCACCGUCCGCAGACAUACCCUACAGUCCUUCACACACUACCCUGGCAUGACGGAGGAUCCCUGUAGCGAAUCAAGGGUGUCGGCCCCGCCCAAGCCCUCCCUCAAGUUUAAAAACUUUGAUAAAGGCUUGCCAGAGUACGCAGCCCUGCAGCCACCUAAAGUGCCGCCCAAACCCCGGAGCAGGGUCACGCAAACAUUGCCUCAUAGCGAGCACCCCUCCGACGCCACUCCCCUUCAGCAGCACCCUCUUUGGGAAGGCCGACGCGCCGAGCAGAGCGCUCAGACGCAGACGCGCGCUCAGACGCCGACCGCGCGCCGGUGUGCGGAGGCGGAGUACGCAGACCUCCCCUCCUCCCCCUCUCCCCCCUCCCGCCGCUCCGCUGUCCUAGUCAUGAGAAGAAUGCUCCUCCGCCUGAGGGAGGUGGAGGAGCACAUCUCUGAGAAGAAGGCUCAGACUCAACAUGCUAGGGAGUUUCAGAAAAAGAGUAUAAAGGACAAGGCACAUCAUCUUUGCGAUUUGUUGGAUGCCACUAAUGUACCCAAGGGGUCUGUCCAUCAGCCACCGCCACAGUCCACAGAUAAGUGUCACUCCUGUGGGAAGCGCGUCUACGUGGUGGAGAGGAUCAGUACCGAAGGCCUCUACUUCCACAGGGAGUGCUUUCGCUGCAAGACCUGCAAUUCGCCACUGAGCCAGGGCGCGCAUGUGUAUGACUCUGAACAGGGAAAACUUUAUUGCAAAGCACAUUUCGUGCAACAUAAAAAUGGGACCCAUCUCCGAAGAAAUAUAAACGGGCGCACAGGUUCUUGCGACCGCCGGGACUCUGUUGAGCCCACAUCCUGUAGUACCAGUCCGGAGAGGCCCCCCCACUGCCCCACUGAUGCUAAGACGAGCCCCUCACCAACAGGUACCCUCACCUCACUGCUCAGGAAGGGCCUGAGCUGGCCCAUGAGUUUGACCCGCGCUGCGUGCGGGGCCCCUAGGCAACUGAGCGGCUGGCUGCAGCGCCGCACGCGGGCCCUAGGCGUGCACGUCAGGGCCAAUGGCCGGGACUAUGCAUUCCUCUACGAGCUCCUGAGCGUGGGCUUGCCCCUGCUGCUGGUGCUGCAGGGAGUCCUGCAGCAGAUGUAUGUGGAGGCUGCCCCGGCCGUGGCCCUGUGUUUACAGCCUGCGCGCCGGUGGCUUGAGGAGAAUGCUGGCCUCAGGCUCACAUAGAUGCUGUGCUCGCCUGCUCCUCCCUCUCGCCUCCACACACUCCGACACCACGAUCACAAGUGCAAUCAGAGCUUCUUUAUGUCCGCCAUGGGAUGGCGACAACUUUGUGACGCACGGAAGCACCUUCUCACAGCAACACCGAUGUCUUGUUUUCAUGUUUAUGAAAUAAAUAUAUAUUUUGAAAACAAGACUUUGACCAAAGAAUAUACAUAAAGAUGGUUCCCGUGGCAGCCUCCUUUUUUUUUUUUUUUUUUUUUUUUUUUUUUGAGUUUAAGAUUGUUUUGUAUAUUUGGACUCUUAAGAUGUUUUGUAUAUCUUCAUAUUUAUCAAAGAAGUGUUUCAACGCUGGAAAGAUGUUUUUUGGUAUUUUCAUAAAACAGGGCUAUGCAGUAAAAAUGUGCACAGAUUGUUUCAAUAGGUGCUACAUGACCAGAGAAAAAAGGUAGGGUCGCUAAUGCUGAAUAAGGUUGACCUAGACAGGUUAAAACUCUCCUAUCUUUAAAAGUGUUAUGUGGGCUUAGGACACACUUGAGGGUAACUUACUGACUGGACUAGCGUAGUUGAGGGGCAUAACAUGGACAUUGGUACCUUUCUGUGGUGGAUAGGAUAAAGAAAUUUGCGUUUACUACUUUACAAAAUUACAGAAUGGAUGUUCUUCCUAAACCACGUAUGUUUACUGAGAUUUUUCUUAAAUCUAGACAUUUUAGUCGUAUUAUCGUUGGAACUUUUCUGCCAUCUGCUGUUCACUUCACGUAGGCAAAACGAAGUGUAGAAUUCAAUUUUAUUUUAUUUUAACUACAAAACAUUGUACUCAUGCACCUGAUAAAUCAUUUGUCAUAAAUGAUUAAUUCCAUUAUAUAUUUUUAUUUAAUGUGCAGAUGUGAUCUGAAUGUUGGAAUAUAACUAUAUAGAAGAUUGUUACCAUCCCCUUUAUAUAGAUGUAUUAACUGUGUUGUGCUUUUUAAAUGAUACAUAAUUAAUAAUAAAGUAAAUGUUUUGGGAAAUGAAAAGAUAUUACUUUUCUAUUAUUAUUUGUAUUUUAAUGUCUCAGUUAAUAUACACCGCAAUGGUGCACGCAAAGAACAAACAAGGUCCCAAGAUCAACUUUACAUUUCUUCUUUUGAUUGUGAUUUUCUUUUGUCAUCUUUCUCCCAAAAUGUCCCUGAAGCUUUAUGACGUUUGAGUUGCGGAACCUUCUGGAUCAUUAAGGGAAAUUACAUAAUGCAGCCGAAGAUGACGGAGGACUAUAAAGAAGACCCGGACAGCUGUGGCCUCCAUCACUUCCUGAGAUAACCUUUCUCAAUUCUUCUUCUGUGUGGUGAUCAUUUAGAAUUGAGAGCACUGAUCUGACAUGUAUGACUAUGUAAAAGGUCUUCAUAUCGAUGAGCAGCAUUCAAUGGAGGUUCAAAUCGAACAGUGGUCAAACUACAUGAAGGGUAAUUUUAGAUAUUAACUUUUUGCAUGAAUUUUAUUUUGGGGAAAGGUAUUUUUGGCUGAACAUGCACAAUGGGUGAACAAUGGCUUCAAGGCAUAGGCCCUACAUUAAGUAUGUCCCCGUUAACAUGAGAAUGCCUAAUGGGCUUAUAUCAGGUUUUCUGAAGUGAGAAAA